This 238-nucleotide ribosomal RNA is filed under the name uncultured bacterium. Its description in RNAcentral is "partial 16S ribosomal RNA". It matches the Rfam family "Bacterial small subunit ribosomal RNA", at positions 92 to 334 of the family's 1533-position model. The record is from RNAcentral.
CGAGUGGCGGACGGGGGAGUAAUGUCUGGGAAACUGCCUGGUGGAGGGGGGUAACUACUGGAAACGGUAGCUAAUACCGCAUAACGUCGCAAGACCAAAGAGGGGACCUUCGGGCCUCUUGCCAUCGGAUGUGCCCAGAUGGGAUUAGCUAGUAGGUGGGGUAACGGCUCACCUAGGCGACGAUCCCUAGCUGGUCUGAGAGGAUGACCAGCCACACUGGAACUGAGACACGGUCCAG